UAGGGUGACCUGCGGAGGGAUCAUU
Molecule: ribosomal RNA, 25 nt
Filed under: Virgaria boninensis
Lineage: Eukaryota; Fungi; Ascomycota
Description: partial 18S ribosomal RNA
Source: RNAcentral